Molecule: ribosomal RNA, 2692 nt
Filed under: Shigella flexneri
Lineage: Bacteria; Pseudomonadati; Pseudomonadota; Gammaproteobacteria; Enterobacterales; Enterobacteriaceae
Description: partial 23S ribosomal RNA
Rfam family: Bacterial large subunit ribosomal RNA
Source: RNAcentral
AGAUUCCCCCAGUAGCGGCGAGCGAACGGGGAGCAGCCCAGAGCCUGAAUCAGUGUGUGUGUUAGUGGAAGCGUCUGGAAAGGCGUGCGAUACAGGGUGACAGCCCCGUACACAAAAAUGCACAUAUUGUGAGCUCGAUGAGUAGGGCGGGACACGUGGUAUCCUGUCUGAAUAUGGGGGGACCAUCCUCCAAGGCUAAAUACUCCUGACUGACCGAUAGUGAACCAGUACCGUGAGGGAAAGGCGAAAAGAACCCCGGCGAGGGGAGUGAAAAAGAACCUGAAACCGUGUACGUACAAGCAGUGGGAGCACGCUUAGGCGUGUGACUGCGUACCUUUUGUAUAAUGGGUCAGCGACUUAUAUUCUGUAGCAAGGUUAACCGAAUAGGGGAGCCGAAGGGAAACCGAGUCUUAACUGGGCGUUAAGUUGCAGGGUAUAGACCCGAAACCCGGUGAUCUAGCCAUGGGCAGGUUGAAGGUUGGGUAACACUAACUGGAGGACCGAACCGACUAAUGUUGAAAAAUUAGCGGAUGACUUGUGGCUGGGGGUGAAAGGCCAAUCAAACCGGGAGAUAGCUGGUUCUCCCCGAAAGCUAUUUAGGUAGCGCCUCGUGAAUUCAUCUCCGGGGGUAGAGCACUGUUUCGGCAAGGGGGUCAUCCCGACUUACCAACCCGAUGCAAACUGCGAAUACCGGAGAAUGUUAUCACGGGAGACACACGGCGGGUGCUAACGUCCGUCGUGAAGAGGGAAACAACCCAGACCGCCAGCUAAGGUCCCAAAGUCAUGGUUAAGUGGGAAACGAUGUGGGAAGGCCCAGACAGCCAGGAUGUUGGCUUAGAAGCAGCCAUCAUUUAAAGAAAGCGUAAUAGCUCACUGGUCGAGUCGGCCUGCGCGGAAGAUGUAACGGGGCUAAACCAUGCACCGAAGCUGCGGCAGCGACGCUGAUGCGUUGUUGGGUAGGGGAGCGUUCUGUAAGCCUGUGAAGGUGUGCUGUGAGGUAUGCUGGAGGUAUCAGAAGUGCGAAUGCUGACAUAAGUAACGAUAAAGCGGGUGAAAAGCCCGCUCGCCGGAAGACCAAGGGUUCCUGUCCAACGUUAAUCGGGGCAGGGUGAGUCGACCCCUAAGGCGAGGCCGAAAGGCGUAGUCGAUGGGAAACAGGUUAAUAUUCCUGUACUUGGUGUUACUGCGAAGGGGGGACGGAGAAGGCUAUGUUGGCCGGGCGACGGUUGUCCCGGUUUAAGCGUGUAGGCUGGUUUUCCAGGCAAAUCCGGAAAACUAAGGCUGAGGCGUGAUGACGAGGCACUACGGUGCUGAAGCAACAAAUGCCCUGCUUCCAGGAAAAGCCUCUAAGCAUCAGGUAACAUCAAAUCGUACCCCAAACCGACACAGGUGGUCAGGUAGAGAAUACCAAGGCGCUUGAGAGAACUCGGGUGAAGGAACUAGGCAAAAUGGUGCCGUAACUUCGGGAGAAGGCACGCUGAUAUGUAGGUGAAGUCCCUCGCGGAUGGAGCUGAAAUCAGUCGAAGAUACCAGCUGGCUGCAACUGUUUAUUAAAAACACAGCACUGUGCAAACACGAAAGUGGACGUAUACGGUGUGACGCCUGCCCGGUGCCGGAAGGUUAAUUGAUGGGGUCAGCGCAAGCGAAGCUCUUGAUCGAAGCCCCGGUAAACGGCGGCCGUAACUAUAACGGUCCUAAGGUAGCGAAAUUCCUUGUCGGGUAAGUUCCGACCUGCACGAAUGGCGUAAUGAUGGCCAGGCUGUCUCCACCCGAGACUCAGUGAAAUUGAACUCGCUGUGAAGAUGCAGUGUACCCGCGGCAAGACGGAAAGACCCCGUGAACCUUUACUAUAGCUUGACACUGAACAUUGAGCCUUGAUGUGUAGGAUAGGUGGGAGGCUUUGAAGUGUGGACGCCAGUCUGCAUGGAGCCGACCUUGAAAUACCACCCUUUAAUGUUUGAUGUUCUAACGUUGACCCGUAAUCCGGGUUGCGGACAGUGUCUGGUGGGUAGUUUGACUGGGGCGGUCUCCUCCUAAAGAGUAACGGAGGAGCACGAAGGUUGGCUAAUCCUGGUCGGACAUCAGGAGGUUAGUGCAAUGGCAUAAGCCAGCUUGACUGCGAGCGUGACGGCGCGAGCAGGUGCGAAAGCAGGUCAUAGUGAUCCGGUGGUUCUGAAUGGAAGGGCCAUCGCUCAACGGAUAAAAGGUACUCCGGGGAUAACAGGCUGAUACCGCCCAAGAGUUCAUAUCGACGGCGGUGUUUGGCACCUCGAUGUCGGCUCAUCACAUCCUGGGGCUGAAGUAGGUCCCAAGGGUAUGGCUGUUCGCCAUUUAAAGUGGUACGCGAGCUGGGUUUAGAACGUCGUGAGACAGUUCGGUCCCUAUCUGCCGUGGGCGCUGGAGAACUGAGGGGGGCUGCUCCUAGUACGAGAGGACCGGAGUGGACGCAUCACUGGUGUUCGGGUUGUCAUGCCAAUGGCACUGCCCGGUAGCUAAAUGCGGAAGAGAUAAGUGCUGAAAGCAUCUAAGCACGAAACUUGCCCCGAGAUGAGUUCUCCCUGACUCCUUGAGAGUCCUGAAGGAACGUUGAAGACGACGACGUUGAUAGGCCGGGUGUGUAAGCGCAGCGAUGCGUUGAGCUAACCGGUACUAAUGAACCGUGAGGCUUAACCUUACAACGCCGAAGGUGUUU